This 210-nucleotide long non-coding RNA is filed under the name Dunaliella salina. Its description in RNAcentral is "long non-coding RNA (DSAL_LNC000002)". The record is from RNAcentral. Lineage: Eukaryota; Viridiplantae; Chlorophyta; Chlorophyceae; Chlamydomonadales; Dunaliellaceae.
GAAAAGAGUGUGUUUCUCGUCUUGCACAUCAGCACAAUCACACCUGUCGCAAAUGUUUGAGCCACCCUGCCAUUUACAAGACUCGACCUUUAAGCAGUGAGCCCAAAGUCUAAACCUGCUCACAUUCCUCAUGACUCCUUUGUCCAGAUCCCUAAAUAAGUAAGAUGGAAUACAAAAAGGAGUGCGUGCUGUUUGAUUCAAAGGCGUCCC